This 484-nucleotide ribosomal RNA is filed under the name uncultured bacterium. RNAcentral's name for it is "partial 16S ribosomal RNA". It matches the Rfam family "Bacterial small subunit ribosomal RNA", at positions 30 to 507 of the family's 1533-position model. The record is from RNAcentral.
AUUGAACGCUGGCGGCAGGCCUAACACAUGCAAGUCGAGCGGAUGAAGGGAGCUUGCUCCUGGAUUCCGCGGCGGACGGGUGAGUAAUGCCUAGGAAUCUGCCUGGUCGUGGGGGAUAACGUCCGGAAACGGGCGCUAAUACCGCAUACGUCCUGAGGGAGAAAGUGGUGGAUCUUCGGACCUCACGCUAUCAGAUGAGCCUAGGUCGGAUUAGCUAGUUGGUGGGGUAAAGGCCUACCAAGGCGACGAUCCGUAACUGGUCUGAGAGGAUGAUCAGUCACACUGGAACUGAGACACGGUCCAGACUCCUACGGGAGGCAGCAGUGGGGAAUAUUGGACAAUGGGCGAAAGCCUGACCCAGCCAUGCCGCGUGUGUGAAGAAGGUCUUCGGAUUGUAAAGCACUUUUAGUUGGGAGGAAGGGCAGUGAGUUAAUACCUGGCUGUUUUGACGGUACCAACAGAAUAAGCACCGGCUAACUUCGUG